UACGAAGGGGGCUAGCGUUGUUCGGAUUUACUGGGCGUAAAGCGCACGUAGGCGGAUUGUUAAGUCGGGGGUGAAAUCCUGGAGCUCAACUCCAGAAUUGCCUUCGAUACUGGCUUUCUAGAGGCUGGAAGAGGUUAGUGGAAUUCCCAGUGUAGAGGUGAAAUUCGUAGAUAUUGGGAAGAACACCAGUGGCGAAGGCGGCGAUCUGGGAAGAUACUGACGCUGAGGUGCGAAAGCGUGGGGAGCAAACAGG
This 253-nucleotide ribosomal RNA is filed under the name uncultured bacterium. RNAcentral's name for it is "partial 16S ribosomal RNA". It matches the Rfam family "Bacterial small subunit ribosomal RNA", at positions 524 to 776 of the family's 1533-position model. The record is from RNAcentral.